AAGGCUAGGUUCCUUAGUAAGGGCGUGGGGAGAGGUGGGACUACCCCAUAGGAUCCUGUGGGGAGGCCAGGCCCCUCCAUAAGUGUUAGAGAUGAGGAUCGGCCCUCCUACAAGGGCCUGUGGGGGAACAGAAUCCUUUAUAAAGUGCUGUGUGGAGGCCAAGCUCCUCUACAGGAGCCUGGGAGGGAGGUAAGUUCCCCUACUGAGGACCGGCUGGGAGGCCAGGAUCAUCUCUAGGAGCCGGGAAAGAAUCCAAACUUCUCUAUAAGGGAGUGGCCAGGCUCCCCCUAAAAGGACUGGCAGGGAGGCAAGGCUCAUCUAGAGGAGCCUAGGAGGAGGCCAGCUUCGCCUAUAGGGACCUGUGGAGGGGCCAGGCUCUCCUGUAACGCCCCCGGUGCGGAGGGGGGUGGGGAGGGAGUCUCCUCCAUAAGAGUCUGGGACAAGGCCAGGUGUCUCUAUAAGGGUCUGUGGGGAGGUCCAGCUGCCGCUAUAGGGAAUGCGAGGUAAGAAACCAAGGCCCUACUACUGAGGCUGGGGAGUGUGAGUUCUCUUCUUUCUACUUGUGCCGUAGCAGGACCCGGAAGUGCCACCGGAGCGGGGCAGCCUGUCUGCAGUGCCUGAGGCAUCUCCAGCCGCAGCGGGGCUCCAGUCUCAGCCUGGGGGACCAGGCGUCACUGACCCUUUUGAUCCCUACUCAGGUGCUCAGCUGCCCCAGGGAGCCACCGCUGGAGCCGAGGCCAUGCCCCACUGGAGCAGAAGUGAUUGCAGCCAGUCCCCAGAUGGAGGAGUCCCUGCAGAGCUCAGUCCCUCCUUGCAGAAGACAUUGUAGUCAAAGACCUAAUGAUCUUGAACAGGCUUCCUCCCAGGAGAAGGAACCUGAACAUCCUAGGGUGCUUUGAAGGUGUACCAGCCCUAGCCUAGAUAAAAAAACUGGGAGUAACUGGAAACACCACCACACUGGCCAGACCAACAGUGUCUUCUGCCUGGAGAACCUACAAACAGGAUCAACAGCAUCUAGUGAUGUAGCCGUCAACUGUGGCAUAAUCAGGCUCACCUGAAA
Pezoporus flaviventris is the source of this 1060-nucleotide long non-coding RNA. RefSeq lists it as uncharacterized. The record is from RefSeq and is a predicted model, not a curated record. The transcript is spliced from 3 exons. Lineage: Eukaryota; Metazoa; Chordata; Aves; Psittaciformes; Psittacidae.